UCUGUCAUUAAUGUGAUUUAUGACAGAUUCUUUUCAGUUGUAAUUUAUAUUUAUUACUCUGUUUUCGUCUUUCGCGUACCUUUUUCUUUCAAUUCCUUAGUCUUAUUUGCCUCUUGGCGAGUUCAAAAGGGACUUGCACAGCUGUCAGGACACGUAACAAAAUUGCGAACACACCGUGAUCCCCAGGGUGAUUAUGAAGAUGAUUUUGGGAAGACAUUUUCCCCAGUUAAGGGAAUUAAGUUAAUAGCCGUCCGCAAACAUAAUUCAUAGACCAAAAUGGGGCCAUAGAAACCAAUUAAGAGUUACGCACAACUAAGGCAGAAGUGGCAAGUGGCGCAACAAAUUCAUUUGAAAUGUAAAUGAGAAAAUCGUCUAAUUGAAAACUUUUGCGUCUUGAUGCUAUUAUCAGGCAUCAGCAGACUUUGUACUUGGUGAAGGCUUAAAGUGUUAACUCGGCAGCUGCCAAGGCUGGAGGAGGCAUUAAUCUAACUCGAAGGCAUCGAGCAAAGACGGUGACGUUUGACGGGCGAAUACGUAAGAGGAUGGGGAAGGGACUGACUUCAAGACGCGCUUUUAAUUAGGUUUCACAAGGAGCAUCAACACAGAGCAUAACCAGGAGAAGCAACAGUCCCUUUCUCCAUAUCUCUCUAUGCUCUCUCUUCUCUAUCUGCUACUCGUUUCGUUUUCUCAAUGUAAAUGUACGUACAUAUAUAUAUGUAUAUGUAAUUUCCCUUUUGGCCAAAUAGAUUUACAAAUGAAAGUUAAA
Molecule: long non-coding RNA, 766 nt
Organism: Drosophila willistoni
Lineage: Eukaryota; Metazoa; Arthropoda; Insecta; Diptera; Drosophilidae
Exons: 2
Source: RefSeq, a predicted model, not a curated record